GUCACAAUCUAGGGACGUCGGCUAAAAUUGGAACAACAAAAAGAAGAUUAGUAUGACACAUGCGCAAAGAUGACACAUAUAAAUCGAGAAAUGGUCCAAAUCUUU
This 105-nucleotide small nuclear RNA is filed under the name Prunus persica (peach). Lineage: Eukaryota; Viridiplantae; Streptophyta; Magnoliopsida; Rosales; Rosaceae. The record is from RNAcentral.